AUGCACAUGCUGUGAGCUCGAUGAGUAGGGCGGGACACGUGGUAUCCUGUCUGAAUAUGGGGGGACCAUCCUCCAAGGCUAAAUACUCCUGACUGACCGAUAGUGAACCAGUACCGUGAGGGAAAGGCGAAAAGAACCCCGGCGAGGGGAGUGAAAAAGAACCUGAAACCGUGUACGUACAAGCAGUGGGAGCACGCUUCGGCGUGUGACUGCGUACCUUUUGUAUAAUGGGUCAGCGACUUAUAUUCUGUAGCAAGGUUAACCGAAUAGGGGAGCCGAAGGGAAACCGAGUCUUAACUGGGCGUUAAGUUGCAGGGUAUAGACCCGAAACCCGGUGAUCUAGCCAUGGGCAGGUUGAAGGUUGGGUAACACUAACUGGAGGACCGAACCGACUAAUGUUGAAAAAUUAGCGGAUGACUUGUGGCUGGGGGUGAAAGGCCAAUCAAACCGGGAGAUAGCUGGUUCUCCCCGAAAGCUAUUUAGGUAGCGCCUCGUGAAUUCAUCUCCGGGGGUAGAGCACUGUUUCGGCAAGGGGGUCAUCCCGACUUACCAACCCGAUGCAAACUGCGAAUACCGGAGAAUGUUAUCACGGGAGACACACGGCGGGUGCUAACGUCCGUCGUGAAGAGGGAAACAACCCAGACCGCCAGCUAAGGUCCCAAAGUCAUGGUUAAGUGGGAAACGAUGUGGGAAGGCCCAGACAGCCAGGAUGUUGGCUUAGAAGCAGCCAUCAUUUAAAGAAAGCGUAAUAGCUCACUGGUCGAGUCGGCCUGCGCGGAAGAUGUAACGGGGCUAAACCAUG
Molecule: ribosomal RNA, 802 nt
Filed under: Escherichia coli
Lineage: Bacteria; Pseudomonadati; Pseudomonadota; Gammaproteobacteria; Enterobacterales; Enterobacteriaceae
Description: partial 23S ribosomal RNA
Rfam family: Bacterial large subunit ribosomal RNA
Source: RNAcentral